UUAACCUGCCCUAAGGUGAAGCAUACUCCCGGGAAACUGGGGCUAAUACUUCAUAGUGGAUAUGUCCUGGAAUGGUAUAUCCUCGAAAGAUCCGUCGCCUUAGGAUGGGACUGCGUCCGAUUAGGUUGUUGGCGGGGUAACGGCCCACCAAGCCAUUGAUCGGUACGGGUUGUGGGAGCAAGAUCCCGGAGAUGGAUUCUGAGACAUGAAUCCAGGCCCUACGGGGCGCAGCAGGCGCGCAAACUUUACAAUGCGAGCAAUCGUGAUAAGGAAACCCUGAGUGCCUGUCGAUGCAGGCUGUUCAUAUAUCUAAAUCAUAUGUGAAGAAAGGGCAGGGCAAGACCGGUGCCAGCCGCCGCGGUAAUACCGGCUGCUCGAGUGAUGGCCACUAUUACUGGGUUUAAAGCGUCCGUAGCUUGACUGUUAGGUCCCUUGGGAAAUCUUCACGCUCAACGUGAAGGCGUCUAAGAGAUACCGGCAGUCUUGGAACUGGGAGAGGUAAACCGUACUUCGGGGGUAGGAGUGAAAUCUUGUAAUCCUCGAGGGACGACCUAUGGCGAAGGCAGUUUACCAGAACAGCUUCGACAGUGAGGGACGAAAGCUGGGGGAGCAAACGGGAUUAGAUACCCCGGUAGUCCCAGCCGUAAACAAUGUGCGUUAGGUGUGUCGGUAACCACGCGUUACUGAUGCGCCGAAGAGAAAUCGUGAAACGCACCACCUGGGAAGUACGGUCGCAAGGCUGAAACUUAAAGGAAUUGGCGGGGGAGCACCACAACAGGUGGAGCCUGCGG
RNAcentral lists this ribosomal RNA (791 nucleotides) under uncultured Methanocorpusculum sp. RNAcentral's name for it is "bacterial SSU rRNA". It matches the Rfam family "Archaeal small subunit ribosomal RNA", at positions 104 to 900 of the family's 1478-position model. Lineage: Archaea; Methanobacteriati; Methanobacteriota; Methanomicrobia; Methanomicrobiales; Methanocorpusculaceae. The record is from RNAcentral.